RNAcentral lists this ribosomal RNA (806 nucleotides) under Pseudogymnoascus sp. Its description in RNAcentral is "partial large subunit ribosomal RNA". It matches the Rfam family "Eukaryotic large subunit ribosomal RNA", at positions 84 to 911 of the family's 3401-position model. Lineage: Eukaryota; Fungi; Ascomycota; Leotiomycetes; Thelebolales; Thelebolaceae. The record is from RNAcentral.
UAACGGCGAGUGAAGCGGUAACAGCUCAAAUUUGAAAUCUGGCCUCACGGUCCGAGUUGUAAUUUGUAGAGGAUGCUUCGAGCAUGGUCUGGCCUAAGUUCCUUGGAACAGGACGUCAUAGAGGGUGAGAAUCCCGUAUGCGGCCAGGUGCCUACGCUCAUGUGAAGCUCCUUCGACGAGUCGAGUUGUUUGGGAAUGCAGCUCAAAAUGGGUGGUAAAUUUCAUCUAAAGCUAAAUAUUGGCCAGAGACCGAUAGCGCACAAGUAGAGUGAUCGAAAGAUGAAAAGCACUUUGGAAAGAGAGUUAAACAGUACGUGAAAUUGUUGAAAGGGAAGCGCUUGCAACCAGACUUGCGCGCGGCCGAUCAUCCGGUGUUCUCACCGGUGCACUCGGCCGUGCUCAGGCCAGCAUCGGUUUUGGCGGCUGGAUAAAGGCCCUAGGAAUGUAGCUCCUCUCGGGGAGUGUUAUAGCCUAGGGUGCAAUGCAGCCUGCUGGGACCGAGGACCGCGCUUCGGCUAGGAUGCUGGCGUAAUGGUUGUAAGCGGCCCGUCUUGAAACACGGACCAAGGAGUCUAACAUCUAUGCGAGUGUUUGGGUGUCAAACCCAUACGCGUAAUGAAAGUGAACGGAGGUGAGAACCCUUAAGGGUGCAUCAUCGACCGGUCCUGAAGUUUACGGAAGGAUCUGAGUAAGAGCAUAGCUGUUGGGACCCGAAAGAUGGUGAACUAUGCCUGAAUAGGGUGAAGCCAGAGGAAACUCUGGUGGAGGCUCGCAGCGGUUCUGACGUGCAAAUCGAUCGUCAAAUU